This 448-nucleotide ribosomal RNA is filed under the name uncultured bacterium. RNAcentral describes it as "partial 16S ribosomal RNA". It matches the Rfam family "Bacterial small subunit ribosomal RNA", at positions 329 to 792 of the family's 1533-position model. The record is from RNAcentral.
UGACAGACUCCUACGGGAGGCAGCAGUGGGGAAUAUUGGGCAAUGGGCGCAAGCCUGACCCAGCAACGCCGCGUGAAGGAAGAAGGCUUUCGGGUUGUAAACUUCUUUUGACAGGGAAGAGUAGAAGACGGUACCUGUCGAAUAAGCCACGGCUAACUACGUGCCAGCAGCCGCGGUAAUACGUAGGUGGCAAGCGUUGUCCGGAUUUACUGGGUGUAAAGGGCGUGCAGCCGGGCUGACAAGUCAGUUGUUAAAUCCCGCGGCUCAACCGCGGAACUGCAGUUGAAACUGGCAGUCUUGAGUACCGGAGAGGUCAGCGGAAUUCCUGGUGUAGCGGUGAAAUGCGUAGAUAUAAGGAAGAACUCCAGUGGCGAAGGCGGAUGACUGGACGGCAACUGACGGUGAGGCGCGAAAGCGUGGGGAGUAAACAGGAGUAGAUACCCUUGUA